This 82-nucleotide long non-coding RNA is filed under the name Junco hyemalis (dark-eyed junco). RNAcentral describes it as "lncRNA (ENSJHYG00000006595.1)". The record is from RNAcentral. Lineage: Eukaryota; Metazoa; Chordata; Aves; Passeriformes; Passerellidae.
GGAAGUGGCGCGCGCGGGGCCUGUGGCGGCGGUGGGGCCGGGCCGGGCGGCCGCGCUUCGACACCGGCGCAGACUAAAAGUA